Molecule: long non-coding RNA, 671 nt
Organism: Eriocheir sinensis (Chinese mitten crab)
Lineage: Eukaryota; Metazoa; Arthropoda; Malacostraca; Decapoda; Varunidae
Exons: 3
Source: RefSeq, a predicted model, not a curated record
CGACCAAGAACGUCAUUAAGGCUUUUUGUGGCUGUCUUUUUUGUUUUUAUUCAUUUUCGCCCUUGAGCUGCUUCCCAUACUGUAAAAAAAGUAUACUACAGCCAACUCAGAGAAAACAGCGACCAAGAACGUCAUUAAUAGAUCCAAAAGUUUCAUAAGGUCACUUGACAAAACUUACCCCAUGCUCGUGUUAUUAGUAGUUCCAAUGCUUUCUGAGGUCACUUAACAAAACUCACCCCAUGCCUGUUAUCAUUAAUAGUCCAAUUCUUCAUGAGGUCACUUGUUGAGGCUCACCCCAUGCCCGUGUUACCAUUAAUAGUUCCAAUGCUUUGUGAGGUCACUUGUUGAGGCUCACCCCAUGCCCGUGUUACCAUUAAUAGUUCCAAUGCUUUGUGAGGUCACUUGUUGAGGCUCACCCCAUGCCCGUGUUACCAUUAAUAGUUCCAAUGCUUUGUGAGGUCACUUGUUGAGGCUCACCCCAUGCCCGUGUUACCAUUAAUAGUUCCAAUGCUUAGUGAGGUCACUUAACAAAACUCACCUCAUUCCCGUGUUAUUAAUAUUUCCUUUCUUUCUGAGGUCACUUGACAAAACUCACCUCAUGCCUGUUAUCAUUAAUAGUUCCAAUUCUUUCUGAGGUCACUUGUUGAGGUUCACCCCCCGGCCGUGUCUCC